CUGGGAGGCGCAACACGGGGCGGCACGCAUAGCUGGGCCGAGUGGGCCUAGGUCGACUCGGGCCGAAGGUAAGAAGGUAAGUUUUUCUUUUUCCUUUUUCUGUUUUCUCUUUUGCAAAUAGUUUUGUUUGUACUUUGUUUUCUUGAUUCAUAUUUCAAAUACCAUUUUGAAAAGCUGAGGAGUAGGAGAGUUCAAAUAUGGUACUAUUAUUUGAAAAUAUUCAAAUGGGGGUAAAGGUUUAAAUCAAAACCCAUUCAAAUGUCAUU
Molecule: long non-coding RNA, 266 nt
Filed under: Brachypodium distachyon (stiff brome)
Lineage: Eukaryota; Viridiplantae; Streptophyta; Magnoliopsida; Poales; Poaceae
Description: long non-coding RNA (BDIS_LNC001950)
Source: RNAcentral